RNAcentral lists this long non-coding RNA (1098 nucleotides) under Mytilus galloprovincialis (Mediterranean mussel). Lineage: Eukaryota; Metazoa; Mollusca; Bivalvia; Mytilida; Mytilidae. The record is from RNAcentral.
CUGGCCUUGAAAUGUUGUUUGCGCAAAUAAAUUUGCGGAAUGAAACCUGUGUUUAAAACCAUUUAAAAAUAAGUUUGUUUCCCUUAUUUGUCAUCAAUCCGUAAGAUGCAUCAUCUCAUAGAAAUAGACUUGUCCAAAUGUGGACAGGUAAAAGACAUCAAGUUAAAGUACUGAAUAUUAACAAAUCAUUUGGAACUCGCGUGUUUCAUAGAAAAUGAAAAAAAUAUUGUCUAUUUGGAUAAAAAACGUGAAUGCAUGACAACAGAUUAACCCGAUAUUCUCGUUUUUCCAGUGGACGAGUCUAUUACGUUCUUGACACGUGUGUUGAAUUUUAUUUUCGUACGACGUUUUUACAUUUUUUUUCUUUAUCAGUUUUCGUGCUUGAAGAUCAGUAUUCACCAUGUUUUCUGUAAUUGAUUAAGAGCUAAUCGAAUCUGUUUUUCUUGUUUGUGAAAUGACUAUUAUUUUUCUUCUUUGUCUGUGCACCCCCCCCUUUUUACGGGAAAUUAUAAACAAUGUUUAUGACAGUUGAGCAAUACUAUUUCAUCGAACUAAAAUUUAAGAAAUUAUGACAAAAUAGCAUAACAAAUAUAUUGUUAGAAAGGUGAACUAUAUAUUUAUUUUGCAUCUUUUUCUGUCUUGAGUGAUACUUUUUUUCCUUUUUUUAACAACCAACCGACCCAACUUUUUCAUGGGGAAGAUCCUUUAACCAACAAAUAAAAAAAAACAUGGCCUUUAUACAAUCCUUCUACUUAAUUGUCACACAGUCAACAAGUUUACAAAGAGGUAGAGGUAACACACUUCUUACAAAUAAUCUCAGAUAUGUAAACAAAAAGAUAAUAUAGUUGUGAACACAAAAUGGUUGGUAUUUUAACAAAAAGCACCAAAAACAAGUAAGAAGGGAAUCAAUAAAACAACUUCCAUACAAAUUGUAGACAAAAUAUACAUCUCGCUUUAUCUUUUUCCUGGUACCAUCAUCCACAGAUCAAAUAAUCUUAAACAAAAUCAACUUUCAUAUUUCUUAACAUCCCCAAUAAUUUUUAACAGUUGUGAAGAGAACCUUUAUGGUUUAUUGAAAAUUACCAUUCCCAUAAUUUG